UACGGGGGGUGCGAGCGUUGUCCGGAAUCACUGGGCGUAAAGCGCGCGCAGGCGGCAUGGCAAGUAAGGUGUGAAAUCUCCCUGCCUAACGGGGAGGGUGCAUUUUAGACUGCCAAGCUAGAGGACGGUAGAGGGGGGUAGAAUUGCUGGUGUAGCGGUGAAAUGCGUAGAGAUCAGCAGGAAUACCCGUGGCGAAGGCGGCCCCCUGGGCCGAACCUGAUGCUGAGGCGCGAAGGCUAGGGGAGCGAACGGG
RNAcentral lists this ribosomal RNA (253 nucleotides) under uncultured bacterium. RNAcentral's name for it is "partial 16S ribosomal RNA". It matches the Rfam family "Bacterial small subunit ribosomal RNA", at positions 524 to 776 of the family's 1533-position model. The record is from RNAcentral.